Molecule: transfer RNA, 71 nt
Filed under: Capra hircus (goat)
Lineage: Eukaryota; Metazoa; Chordata; Mammalia; Artiodactyla; Bovidae
Also listed under: 1 other name
Rfam family: tRNA
About the family: Transfer RNA (tRNA) molecules are approximately 80 nucleotides in length.
Source: Rfam by way of RNAcentral
UCCCUGGUGGUCCAGUGGCCAAGACUCUGUGCUCCCAAUGCAGGGGCCCAGGUUUGAUCCUGGUCAAGGAA